RNAcentral lists this ribosomal RNA (43 nucleotides) under Pegosomum asperum. RNAcentral describes it as "partial 16S large subunit ribosomal RNA". The record is from RNAcentral. Lineage: Eukaryota; Metazoa; Platyhelminthes; Trematoda; Plagiorchiida; Echinostomatidae.
UAGAUCUUGAGGUUAGUGAUAGUGUUUGUGUUGUUAGUUGUAU